GAGCCAGCUUCCACCCGAACACGAAGGCUAUGGAGAUGGCAGCAACCAGCGUCACCAUGGCACUCAGCAUCUGACCUAGUCUAAGUCCGGCUGCCUACACACAUCGUCAAACUGCUUCUGUCAUUCUCUAAACUUACGUUAAGGGUAACCGAUGUAACUCACCCCCUUGAUGAGUGGUGCGUCUCGAGCAAGCCGUGAUAUGAGAUGACCGCUAGAGUGUCGUGCCGAGUCGAACCAGCCGACAGAUUGGCGCAAGAUAUUGUGAAAGGCCAUUACCCGCAGUCGCAUCACCAACCGUUCCACUGCCAAUGUCAUAGUCACUAUCUGCACCACACAAGAGCAUUGUAGUAACCAUCUUAACUAAAUGACUAUGUACCAAUUGUACAAUAUGAAAUAAAGUGAAAUUUGGUUCA
Long non-coding RNA from Homalodisca vitripennis (glassy-winged sharpshooter), 413 nucleotides. RefSeq lists it as uncharacterized. The record is from RefSeq and is a predicted model, not a curated record. The transcript is spliced from 2 exons. NCBI's taxonomy places the organism in Eukaryota, Metazoa, Arthropoda, Insecta, Hemiptera, Cicadellidae.